Molecule: long non-coding RNA, 297 nt
Organism: Phascolarctos cinereus (koala)
Lineage: Eukaryota; Metazoa; Chordata; Mammalia; Diprotodontia; Phascolarctidae
Source: Ensembl
AUGGCCACAGACUUUCCAAACCAUGGUUUCUCUGUGUUUGAAGACAAGUAUAAUGGGUCCUCCAAACUGUCUGCUGUUCUUCUGCAGCUGUUCCAACACUGCUCUCUUUCUAGGAGAUGGUGCCAGCUUUUGAGGAGGUGGAAGACAGCACAGAAGUGGAUCUUAAAGCCAAGAGCUGAUAAGGAUAAUAAUAAUAGAGGUGUGAAAUCAGGAUUGUAUUUUCCCUCUCCUUGGUAAUUUCAAUUUAUAAAUGAUUGGAUUGCAUGUCUUUAUAAUAAAGAAAAUUUCAAAAAAUCA